GAUGAACGCUAGCUACAGGCUUAACACAUGCAAGUCGAGGGGAAACGGCAUUGAGUGCUUGCACUCUUUGGACGUCGACCGGCGCACGGGUGAGUAACGCGUAUCCAACCUUCCCAUUACUGUGGGAUAACCUGCCGAAAGGCAGACUAAUACCGCAUAGUCUUCGAUGACGGCAUCAGAUUUGAAGUAAAGAUUUAUCGGUAAUGGAUGGGGAUGCGUCUGAUUAGCUUGUUGGCGGGGUAACGGCCCACCAAGGCUACGAUCAGUAGGGGUUCUGAGAGGAAGGUCCCCCACAUUGGAACUGAGGCACGGUCCAAACUGCUACGGGAGGCAGCAGUGAGGAAUAUUAGGCGAUGGACGGAAGUCUGAACCAGCCAAGUAGCGUGCAGGAUGACGGCCCUAUGGGUUGUAAACUGCUGUUGUAUGGGGAUAAAGUUAGGGACGUGUCCCUAUUUGCAGGUACCAUACGAAUAAGGACCGGCUAAUUCCGUG
RNAcentral lists this ribosomal RNA (492 nucleotides) under uncultured bacterium. RNAcentral describes it as "partial 16S ribosomal RNA". It matches the Rfam family "Bacterial small subunit ribosomal RNA", at positions 28 to 507 of the family's 1533-position model. The record is from RNAcentral.